GAUGAACGCUGGCGGCGUGCCUAAUACAUGCAAGUCGAGCGAACAGACGAGGAGCUUGCUCCUCUGACGUUAGCGGCGGACGGGUGAGUAACACGUGGAUAACCUACCUAUAAGACUGGGAUAACUUCGGGAAACCGGAGCUAAUACCGGAUAAUAUAUUGAACCGCAUGGUUCAAUAGUGAAAGACGGUUUUGCUGUCACUUAUAGAUGGAUCCGCGCCGCAUUAGCUAGUUGGUAAGGUAACGGCUUACCAAGGCAACGAUGCGUAGCCGACCUGAGAGGGUGAUCGGACACACUGGAACUGAGACACGGUCCAGACUCCUACGGGAGGCAGCAGUAGGGAAUCUUCCGCAAUGGGCGAAAGCUUGACGGGGCAACGCCGCGUGAGUGAUGAAGGUCUUCGGAUCGUAAAACUCUGUUAUUAGGGAAGAACAAAUGUGUAAGUAACUAUGCACGUCUUGACGGUACCUAAUCAGAAAGCCACGGCUAACUACGUG
Molecule: ribosomal RNA, 497 nt
Filed under: uncultured bacterium
Lineage: Bacteria
Description: partial 16S ribosomal RNA
Rfam family: Bacterial small subunit ribosomal RNA
Source: RNAcentral